AAUAUUGCACAAUGGAGGAAACUCUGAUGCAGCGACGCCGCGUGAACGAUGAAGGCUUUCUAGUCGUACAGUUCUGUCCUAGGCGACGAUAAUGACGUUACCCUAGGAGGAAGCCCCGGCUAACUGCGUGCCUGCAGCCGCGGUAAAACGUAGGGGGCAAGCGUUGUCCGGAUUUAUUGGGCGUAAAGGGUUCGCAGGCGGCCUUUUAAGUCAGAUGUGAAAGCCCACGGCUCAACCGUGGUAAGCAUUUGAAACUGGAAGGCUUGAGUUAAGGAGAGGAAAGUGGAAUUCCUAGUGUAGCGGUGAAAUGCGUAGAUAUUAGGAGGAAUACCAGUGGCGAAGGCGACUUUCUGGACUUAUACUGACGCUGAGGAACGAAAGCGUGGGGAGCAAACAGG
This 398-nucleotide ribosomal RNA is filed under the name uncultured bacterium. Its description in RNAcentral is "partial 16S ribosomal RNA". It matches the Rfam family "Bacterial small subunit ribosomal RNA", at positions 360 to 776 of the family's 1533-position model. The record is from RNAcentral.